GGCUUCGUGGCCUAGUGGUUAUGGCAUCCCACUCGUAAUGGGGGGGUCCCGCGUUCAAAUCGCGGCGGAGCCA
This 73-nucleotide transfer RNA is filed under the name Penicillium chrysogenum. RNAcentral's name for it is "tRNA-Thr (CGT) (tRNA-Thr-CGT-2-1)". It matches the Rfam family "tRNA". From Rfam's summary of the family: Transfer RNA (tRNA) molecules are approximately 80 nucleotides in length. Their secondary structure includes four short double-helical elements and three loops (D, anti-codon, and T loops). Further hydrogen bonds mediate the characteristic L-shaped molecular structure. tRNAs have two regions of fundamental functional importance: the anti-codon, which is responsible for specific mRNA codon recognition, and the 3' end, to which the tRNAs corresponding amino acid is attached (by aminoacyl-tRNA synthetases). tRNAs cope with the degeneracy of the genetic code in two manners: having more than one tRNA (with a specific anti-codon) for a particular amino acid; and 'wobble' base-pairing, i.e. permitting non-standard base-pairing at the 3rd anti-codon position. RNAcentral also lists the same sequence under 4 other names. The record is from RNAcentral. Lineage: Eukaryota; Fungi; Ascomycota; Eurotiomycetes; Eurotiales; Aspergillaceae.